Molecule: non-coding RNA, 164 nt
Filed under: Suipraeoptans intestinalis
Lineage: Bacteria; Bacillati; Bacillota; Clostridia; Lachnospirales; Lachnospiraceae
Description: Lysine riboswitch
Rfam family: Lysine riboswitch aptamer
About the family: Riboswitches are metabolite binding domains within certain messenger RNAs that serve as precision sensors for their corresponding targets. Allosteric rearrangement of mRNA structure is mediated by ligand binding, and this results in modulation of gene expression. This family includes riboswitches that sense lysine in a number of genes involved in lysine metabolism, including lysC.
Source: RNAcentral
UUUGGUAGAGGCGCGAGAUUCAUCAGUAACCGGAAAGCCACAGCGUGGGAAGCUGCUUUUUGGAGAAAGGGGAGAUCGCCGAAGAGAUGGGAUGACCCGCAUCCUUUCUCUGGUUUACGGUAGAAGAUAUCGUAGACUGUCACUAAUCGUGGAGCGCUAUCAGA